GAGGGGGUCGGUGGAAGGCUGGUUAAACCAUUUGGUUUUCGACCACAACGACCCGGGUUCGAUUCCCGCAUUGGACACUUUUUUCA
This 86-nucleotide transfer RNA is filed under the name Cordylochernes scorpioides. RNAcentral describes it as "tRNA-Glu". The record is from RNAcentral. Lineage: Eukaryota; Metazoa; Arthropoda; Arachnida; Pseudoscorpiones; Chernetidae.